This 497-nucleotide ribosomal RNA is filed under the name uncultured bacterium. RNAcentral's name for it is "partial 16S ribosomal RNA". It matches the Rfam family "Bacterial small subunit ribosomal RNA", at positions 28 to 507 of the family's 1533-position model. The record is from RNAcentral.
GAUGAACGCUGGCGGCGUGCCUAAUACAUGCGAGUCGAGCGAACAGACGAGGAGCUUGCGCCUCUGACGCUAGCGGCGGACGGGUGAGUAACAAGAGGAAAACCCACCUAUAAGACUGGGAUAACUCCGAGAAACCGGCGCAUAAACCGGAUAAUAUAUUCAACCGCAUGGGUCAAUAGCGAAAGACGGUUUUCCUGACCCUUAUAGACGGACCCGCGCCGCAUUAGCUAGUUGGUAAGGGAAAGGCUUACCAAGACAACGAUGCGUAGCCGACCUGAGAUGGUGCUCGGCCCCACUGCAACUGAGACACGGUCCAGACUCCUACGGGAGGCAGCAGUCGGGAAUCUUCCGCCAUGGGCGCAAGCUUGACGGUGCCACGCCGCGUGCGUGAUGAAGUUCUUCGCAUCGUAAAACUCUGUUAUUAGGGAAGAACAAAUGUGUAAGUAACUAUGCACGUCUUCACGGUCCCUAAUCAGAAAGCCGCGGCUGACUUCGUG